UUGACCUCGGAUCAGGUACCUAUACCCGCUGAACUUAAGCAUAUCAAUAAGCGGAGGUACCUUCGGUACCCGAAUUGUAAUUUGGAGGCAUGCGACCCAAGCGGCAAUCCGCCCUAACGUGAUCCCUGG
Molecule: ribosomal RNA, 129 nt
Filed under: uncultured fungus
Lineage: Eukaryota; Fungi
Description: partial 28S ribosomal RNA
Source: RNAcentral